AACGAACGCUGGCGGCAGGCUUAACACAUGCAAGUCGAGCGCACCGCAAGGUGAGCGGCAGACGGGCGAGUAACGCGUGGGAAUCUACCCAGUUCUGCGGAAUAACACAGGGAAACUUGUGCUAAUACCGCAUACGCCUCCGGGGAACGAUUAUCGGAAUUGGAUGAGCCGCGUUAGAUUAGCUAGUUGGUGGGGUAAAGGCCUACCAAGGCGACGAUCUAUAGCUGGUCUGAGAGGAUGAUCAGCCACACUGGGACUGAGACACGGCCCAGACUCCUACGGGAGGCAGCAGUGGGGAAUAUUGGACAAUGGGCGAAAGCCUGAUCCAGCCAUGCCGCGUGAGUGAUGAAGGCCUUAGGGUUGU
RNAcentral lists this ribosomal RNA (364 nucleotides) under uncultured bacterium. RNAcentral's name for it is "bacterial SSU rRNA". It matches the Rfam family "Bacterial small subunit ribosomal RNA", at positions 29 to 426 of the family's 1533-position model. The record is from RNAcentral.